UCCCAAGCUUCCCUUGUUGUGUAACACCUGUCACUUCCUCUCUCCUGUGGGAUCCGCUGCCCAAGCCCUCUACUGACUCCUGCCCUCACCAAUUGCUGACCACGGUGGGUGUGCCAGGUAGGGAAUGGCUAUGGCCCUCUUGUCUCAGGAAAUCCCACAGUUGCAGCCUUGAUUCUGGCACCUGCCUCCUGCACAGGCCCAGGUGGCCUUCCUGCACAACCUCUGCUGCACAGGAGCUGGGUGGCAACCCGACUCUGGGGUGGUGGUUACCACUGCAGCACGGUCUUGUGUCUGCUGCCUUUCUCCUCCAAGCCUCUUUCUGCCUCCUGACACCUCUCUAAUCUUUACUUUCAAAAUCAUAGUCGGGCUGGAAGAUGACUUAGCAGGUGAAAGGGAAGACCUGACUCCCUUGCAAGUUGUCCUCUGACCUCCACACGUGCCAUGGUGCCACGGUGCCACACCCACACAAGUAAGUCUUUAAAAAUUGCUUUAAACAUUGUGCUAUUCUCCAGGAUCACAGAAUGCUGAACAACCCGCCCCUCUCGUGUGCCCAUCUACAAAUUAGGCAUCACAGUAGCAUGCGUGCCUCCUUUCCCAGAUACAAGAGAGGCUGCGGGGUUGGGGAUUUAGCUCAGUGGUAGAGCACUUGCCUAGGAAGUGCAAGGCCCUGGGUUCGGUUCCCAGCUCCCCACCUCCGAAAAAAAGAACCAAAAAAAAAAAAAAAGAGAGAGAGAGAGAGGCUGCUGGGGCUGGAGGAGAUUAUCCCUUUUUACGAGCUAGAUGGGGUUCUCUGCUCCCAUCAAAAAGGUAACCAUGGGAGCUGGAGAGAUGGCUCAAUGGUUAAAAGCAAUGACUGCUCUUCCAGAAGUCCUGAGUUCAAAUCCCAGCAACCACAUGGUGGCUCACAACCAUCUGUAAUGAGGUCUGAUGCCUUCUUCUGGUGUAUCUGAAGACAGCUACAGUGUACUUAUAUGUAAUAAAUAAAUCUUUAAAAAAAAAUAAAAAA
This 1006-nucleotide long non-coding RNA is filed under the name Rattus norvegicus (Norway rat). RNAcentral's name for it is "long non-coding RNA NONRATT004616". The stretch from base 621 to 691 matches the Rfam family "tRNA". Lineage: Eukaryota; Metazoa; Chordata; Mammalia; Rodentia; Muridae. The record is from RNAcentral.